GCCUGCCCAGUGACUUUUUAAACGGCCGCGGUAUCCUAACCGUGCAAAGGUAGCAUAAUCACUUGUCCUUUAAAUAAGGACUAGCAUGAAUGGCUAAAUGAGGACUUAACUGUCUCUUACAGCCCGCCAAUGAAACUGAUUUCCCAGUACAAAAGCUGGAAUAAACACACAAGACGAGAAGACCCUGUGGAGCUUCAAAUCAAACCCACCAACCAUGGUUCUAGAUUUUCAGUUGGGGCGACUUUGGAGCAUAAAAAACCCUCCAAACAUGUAUUACUUAAUUUUAUCAAGACCUACAUACCAAAACACAACAAAAGACCCAGCAACAUCUCAAUGUUGUCUGAUAAAUGAACCAAGUUACCCCAGGGAUAACAGCGCCAUCCCCUUCUAGAGUCCCUAUCGACAAGGGGGUUUACGACCUCGAUGUUGGAUCAGGACACCCCAAUGGUGCAGCCGCCAUUAAAGGUUCGUUUGUUCAACGAUUAAAGUCCAACGUGAU
RNAcentral lists this ribosomal RNA (499 nucleotides) under Phoenicolacerta laevis (Lebanon lizard). Its description in RNAcentral is "partial large subunit ribosomal RNA". It matches the Rfam family "Archaeal large subunit ribosomal RNA", at positions 1949 to 2673 of the family's 2987-position model. The record is from RNAcentral. Lineage: Eukaryota; Metazoa; Chordata; Lepidosauria; Squamata; Lacertidae.